GACGAACGCUGGCGGCGUGCUUAACACAUGCAAGUCGAACGGAAAGGCCCUGCUUUUGUGGGGUGCUCGAGUGGCGAACGGGUGAGUAACACGUGAGUAACCUGCCCUUGACUUUGGGAUAACUUCAGGAAACUGGGGCUAAUACCGGAUAGGAGCUCCUGCUGCAUGGUGGGGGUUGGAAAGUUUCGGCGGUUGGGGAUGGACUCGCGGCUUAUCAGCUUGUUGGUGGGGUAGUGGCUUACCAAGGCUUUGACGGGUAGCCGGCCUGAGAGGGUGACCGGCCACAUUGGGACUGAGAUACGGCCCAGACUCCUACGGGAGGCAGCAGAGGGGAAUGUUGCACAAUGGGCGGAAGCCUGAUGCAGCAACGCCGCGUGCGGGAUGACGGCCUUCGGGUUGUAAACCGCUUUCGCCUGUGACGAAGCGUGAGUGACGGUAAUGGGUAAAGAAGCACCGGCUAACUACGUG
RNAcentral lists this ribosomal RNA (468 nucleotides) under uncultured bacterium. Its description in RNAcentral is "partial 16S ribosomal RNA". It matches the Rfam family "Bacterial small subunit ribosomal RNA", at positions 28 to 507 of the family's 1533-position model. The record is from RNAcentral.